GCAAUGGUGGUUCAGAAGUAGAAUUCUCACCUUCCAUGCAAGAGACCUGGGUUUGAUUCCCAGCCAAUGCA
Molecule: transfer RNA, 71 nt
Filed under: Loxodonta africana (African savanna elephant)
Lineage: Eukaryota; Metazoa; Chordata; Mammalia; Proboscidea; Elephantidae
Rfam family: tRNA
About the family: Transfer RNA (tRNA) molecules are approximately 80 nucleotides in length. Their secondary structure includes four short double-helical elements and three loops (D, anti-codon, and T loops). Further hydrogen bonds mediate the characteristic L-shaped molecular structure. tRNAs have two regions of fundamental functional importance: the anti-codon, which is responsible for specific mRNA codon recognition, and the 3' end, to which the tRNAs corresponding amino acid is attached (by aminoacyl-tRNA synthetases). tRNAs cope with the degeneracy of the genetic code in two manners: having more than one tRNA (with a specific anti-codon) for a particular amino acid; and 'wobble' base-pairing, i.e. permitting non-standard base-pairing at the 3rd anti-codon position.
Source: Rfam by way of RNAcentral